RNAcentral lists this long non-coding RNA (371 nucleotides) under Vigna radiata. Its description in RNAcentral is "long non-coding RNA (VRAD_LNC018388)". Lineage: Eukaryota; Viridiplantae; Streptophyta; Magnoliopsida; Fabales; Fabaceae. The record is from RNAcentral.
AUUAAUAAAAAAAAUGGACUUGAGGUAAAAGGAAGAAAUAAGAAUAAAAAUAGAUAGGAAUGUAUAAAGUGUGGAGGGUAAAAAAAGUACUAAAAGAAAGAAAGAAGAAGAGGACAUGGAAAGUAGUGGAAAAGAGAACAAACAAGAGAAAAAGAUUGGUGAAAGGUGGUGGAUGGUCAAAGAAGAUGUACAGAGAAAAAAAAUAGAUUUUAAUGGAAAAUAUAAUUUCAAACCAUCUUAUAUCAAUUUAAUGGAAAUUGAUUUUUUUAUUACAAAAAAAAAAAAAGAGAUCACAUUAAAUUAACUCAAAAAUAUAAACUACUAAUUAUUUUUUCCAUCAACACUUCUAUUUUAUUUUUCCUAUAUUUUCU